AACGAACGCUGGCGGCAUGCCUAACACAUGCAAGUCGAACGAGACCUUCGGGUCUAGUGGCGCACGGGUGCGUAACGCGUGGGAACCUGCCCUUAGGUUCGGAAUAACUCCCCGAAAGGGGUGCUAAUACCGGAUAAUGUCUUCGGACCAAAGAUUUAUCGCCUUUGGAUGGGCCCGCGUUGGAUUAGCUAGUUGGUAGGGUAAAAGCCUACCAAGGCGACGAUCCAUAGCUGGUCUGAGAGGAUGAUCAGCCACACUGGGACUGAGACACGGCCCAGACCUCACGGGGGGGCAGGGGGGGGGAAAUUUGGAAAAGGGGGAAAAGGCUGAACCAACAAUGGCCGGGUGGUGAGUAAGGCCGUAGGGUUUGAAAAUCUUUUUUCCCCGGGUGAAAAAUGAAAGUCCGGGGAAAAAAGCCUCCCACUACCCCCGGC
RNAcentral lists this ribosomal RNA (434 nucleotides) under uncultured bacterium. Its description in RNAcentral is "partial 16S ribosomal RNA". It matches the Rfam family "Bacterial small subunit ribosomal RNA", at positions 29 to 508 of the family's 1533-position model. The record is from RNAcentral.